RNAcentral lists this ribosomal RNA (413 nucleotides) under uncultured bacterium. Its description in RNAcentral is "bacterial SSU rRNA". It matches the Rfam family "Bacterial small subunit ribosomal RNA", at positions 30 to 446 of the family's 1533-position model. The record is from RNAcentral.
AUUGAACGCUGGCGGCAUGCCUUACACAUGCAAGUCGAACGGCAGCACGGGGCAACCUGGUGGCGAGUGGCGAACGGGUGAGUAAUGCAUCGGAACGUGCCAUUGAGUGGGGGAUAACGUAGCGAAAGUUGCGCUAAUACCGCAUAUUCUGUGAGCAGGAAAGCAGGGGGACCGCAAGGCCUUGCGCUCUUUGAGCGGCCGAUGUCAGAUUAGCUAGUUGGUGAGGUAACGGCUUACCAAGGCGACGAUCUGUAGCGGGUCUGAGAGGAUGAUCCGCCACACUGGAACUGAGACACGGUCCAGACUCCUACGGGAGGCAGCAGUGGGGAAUUUUGGACAAUGGGCGCAAGCCUGAUCCAGCCAUGCCGCGUGAGUGAAGAAGGCCUCGGUUGUAAGACUCUUCGGUCCGGGAA